CAUCUGUAUGGGAACUGCUGAAUCACUGCCUGAGCCUCUGAUUGAUCACCUGAGGUGAACAAUGAGUCAGCCACAGGAGCACAGGUGAAGGCAAUUCACCUGUGCUGCUGGAAGGGGUGGAGCCUGGCUCCAUCUCUCCUAGACCCAUUUAAGAGCUGAUUGCAAAUAGGAAAGGAUCUCUUCUGGAGAUCCCUCCUCUGGAGUUUUGCAGUGGGCUCAGGAUAUGGAAAUGCAAGAUCUUUGAUAAAUGAGGAAAAACCACAGGGAGGCCAGAUCUGGAACUGAUCAAGGAAAUUACGAGAAACAAGCUAGUGGUCAGACAAAAACUUUGGGUAUCUCACUAUCAGAAAGACUGAACUUACCUGGAUGAAGGUUUUGUUUUGUUUCUAACUACAAGUGUUCCUGGCUUUCCAUUACCAGGACUUGUUCUUCUAUGGCCUGGCACCAAAUGCUUGCUUUCUUGAUGUAAGAACUAAAAGUGACAGCCCCUUCUAGGCUUCUGCUGACUUCACAGGAUAAUCAGGACAUAGAUAUACUGAUUUAGUAUGGUGCUGAGGAAGAUAGAGAAAGCUUAUAGUCUCAGCACCGGACAGAUCUCCAUGGCUCUCCUAAGAUGUAACUGAAGUUCUGCAGUUAUGUCACAGCCUCAGCUUCGCUAGUUUAGCUAACUACAGCAGCAAGGUUUCAGUGACAGGAAGUCAAGUCACCAACAAAAUAUCUACCAAGGUGAAAUCCAGUUCCUUGUGGAUUCAGCACCAUCACCACCAAUUACAGGUAACAUAAAGCAAGCUCAGUGUCUAUGUAGACUGCAACUACAACUUAUCGUACAGAUACAGCCUUGGAGUAAAAUCAUCCUCUUGAAGCUGGAAGGACAGAUUUCUGAGGAAGUGAGAAUGAAAAGAAUGUAUUUCCUAUGUAUUAAAUUGCACUGUGAUUUUUCAAACAUUAACUUACACUCACUGUUUAGACCAUUGUUAUGUUUUCCAACAACCUUUAAGUAGGGUGAAAUGAGCUAAUACAGAUCAAAAGAACAGUUUUUUAUUUAUACAGUGAAAGAUUCCCUGUUUUGCGAGUUGUUGCAUUUUGUAUGAAUUGGUAGGGAAAUACUUUUCACCUGUUUGCAGCCCAUGGCAAGGCAGAGAAGGACCGCAUGCCAAGAGAGCACUAUUUUCUGAAGUGAGUGUAAGAGCAUCCACUGAUAAGACAGCAAUCACAGCUACACUCACCUUGAAACCGAUGCACUCAAAAGUGCCUGGCUUCUCCACGUCCUUUUCCACCACUGUUUGACUCUGGGUUUCCAACUCCAAGGUGACAGCCAGGUGGACAUCCUCAGUGACGGAGCUGAGGUGAAUACAGAGCUGCUCCUCUUGGAAACGGUGAAUGACAGCAGGGAACACCACCAUGUACUGACUAGAAGAGAGGAGUGGGGGGGGGGGGAAUUUUUUUUUUAAGAAACAUCCAGAAGUUGAGACAGACCAGAAUCCAUUUCUGCUGCUUUCAUGAACAGGUAGAAACGAGAGGUCAGAAAUGUCUAAGGGCUGCAGAAUUGUCAUGCAGCUCUCUUUCCAUAUCUUUCCAUAUCCAGAAACGGCAACAUGCCUCUUACAUGUUUGUCAUCUUUCCGUUAGCCAGGACAGAACUGCUCAAUAGCAAGUACACAGAAACAAAAUGGUGGUGUGAGAAAUUAUACUGAAAAUUCAGUGACCAAAACUUCAGUUUCACUUCAAAUUUCACCUCUGCCAGCGCAGGAUGAACAAAGGGAAGAUUUGUGGCUUCUAUAGGUUUUUGGUGUGGUGCAGUACUACAUUGCUAGAACAGCUUCUUCAGU
This is a long non-coding RNA of Lagopus muta (rock ptarmigan), 1828 nucleotides long. RefSeq lists it as uncharacterized. The transcript is spliced from 2 exons. The record is from RefSeq and is a predicted model, not a curated record. Lineage: Eukaryota; Metazoa; Chordata; Aves; Galliformes; Phasianidae.